GAGACAUUAUAAAGCUACAGAUGAGUUCAGGGAUAUUAAUGGUAUCCCUGCCACCAUCUGCCAAAGCUCUGGCAGAUGAGGCCACUUCCCUCUGUUCCCUCUUGUCAAGCCCAGAACAACCCUCAUCGAAGCUGUGUAUCUCUAGCAACCUACACUAAAAGUCACUACAAGAUUCAAAAUCCUACCCAUUUCCUGAGUAGAAGGGAAGAUGCAUAUAUUCUGUUGUAAAGAGUUACGGCAAGGGAUCCCUGGGUGGCUCGGCAGUUUUGCGCCUGCCUUCGGCCCAGGGCAUGAUCCUGGAGUCCAGGGAUCAAGUCCUGCAUCAGGCUAUCGGCAUGGAGCCUGCUUCUCCCUCUGCCUGUGUCUCUGCCUCUCUCUUUCUCUCUAUGUCUGUCAUGAAUAAAUAAAUAAAAUCUUAAAAAAAAAAAAGAGUUACAGCAGAAAAUGAAACUUGAUCACGAUGUUAUCCUUCCAUACAAAGCAUUGUUGCAUACGUUAUCCCAUUUGAUUUUCACAACUGUCAUAGGGUACAGGUCAAGGAACUUAUUAUUUUAACCUGUUAAUGAAGAAAGUCAGACUCUGGUUAAGCAGUUUGCUACAAGGCACAUAGCUGGUUAGUGGGCGUGCUGGAUUUGCUCGUGGUUCAGGUUAACCUUGUGCUCUUCUUGCUCCUCUCAAUCAUUCUCUCAGGAUCUUUGAAAACCUAUAUUGUUCUGUACUAGGUCUGUUUUCUUUUUAUGUCAUAAUUUGAAAACUUUGUACAUUGAAAAUAAUUCUGUUUCUACUUCUUUUGUCAAAAUUGUUUUUAUGUUUGUCUUAAGCUUUGCCUUCAUUAAGACCUUUACCCCACAGGAGUAAAUGUUUUAGGGCAGUAGGUCUCAGACUUUAUCAUUCUUUCUUUUUUUUAAGAUUUAUUUAUUUAUUCAUGAGACACACACACACACACACACACACACAGACAAACAGACAAACACAGGCAGGGGGAGAAGUAGGCUCCAUGCAGGGAGCCCGACCUGCAACUCGAUGCCAGGUCUCCAGGAUCACACCCUGGACUGAAGGUGACGCUAAACCGCUGAGCCACCGGGGCUGCCCAGACUUUAUCAUUCUUAAAAAUCACCCAGGGAUGGGCACCUGGGUGGCUCGUGGGUCCCUGAUGAAUGUUUGGUGAGUGAAUGAGUGAGAGAGAAUCCAUCAAAUCCUCCUUGUGGUCUACAAGUUUCUGUGAUCUGACCCUGACUUAUCCUUGUAACCUCAUCUCUCUCCUCUCUCACCUUUAUUCUGAUCACACUGGCCUUCAAGCCUUUGAAAAUGCUCAACUGUGACCUCUAGUCCAAAGAGUGUCAAAACACUGCCUGUGGGGCAAAUCUGUCCUACCAUCUAUUACGAUAAAGUGUUAUUGGGGCACCUGGGUGGCUCAGUCGGUUAAGUGUCUGCCUUUGGCUCAAGGCGUGAUCCCAGGUCCAGGGAGUGAGUCCUGCAUUGAGCUUCCUGUGAGGAGCCUGCUUCUCCCUCUUCCUGUGUCUCUGCCUCUCUCUGUGUGUCUCUCAUGAAUAAAUAAAUAAAAUCUAAAAAAAAACAAAACAAAAAACCCUCUAACUUCAA
Molecule: long non-coding RNA, 1602 nt
Filed under: Canis lupus familiaris (dog)
Lineage: Eukaryota; Metazoa; Chordata; Mammalia; Carnivora; Canidae
Description: lncRNA (ENSCAFG00845016452.1)
Source: RNAcentral